Long non-coding RNA from Orcinus orca (killer whale), 1261 nucleotides. RefSeq lists it as uncharacterized. The record is from RefSeq and is a predicted model, not a curated record. The transcript is spliced from 2 exons. NCBI's taxonomy places the organism in Eukaryota, Metazoa, Chordata, Mammalia, Artiodactyla, Delphinidae.
AGGAGCGUCAGCGACGGCCACUUCGGGAAGAGUGUGGCCUAGGCGGAACACAGAGGCUUGACGUGAAAAUGUGGGACUCAGUCGGUGCGUAGCCGCUCGUAAAGGCAAGACAGGCUUGGUCGAGACUGCGGGAGAGGUGGACAGAAACGAGCGUGGCCCAGAGGAUAAAAGGAAUGUGAAAGGACUCGGAUCAGAGGCGUGGACGCCGAUGAAGAAGCGGGGCCACGGAGUAGCGUAUGGGACGCAAGUGACGUUCCUGCAAGUUACUUGGGAGCUGAUCAAGACUUCAAGCUAAAGAUGGUGAUGAUGAGUCGCCUGAGGGUCAUUCUUCAAGCCUCUCCAUGCAAGGCACAGUGGAGAAGUUUCCAGAUUCCGAGGUCCAUGCUAGCAAGGCCCUUCAGCCUCUACACCUGCACUUACAGAACCUGGAACCGAGCCUCAACUGUCUUUUUACUAAAAUUGAUCCACGGACUGCGAAUUAUUUCUGUGAGUCUGAACAUUCUGGAAUUUUCAUAUUCAUGUCUGCAAGCAGUUCAGUAGCUUCAUACUCUGGAAUAUUCCAUCCCUCGUUACAAAUUGCAGAAGAGGUGCUUCUAGCUGACCAGCUUGCCAGUGUGUGCUCCGCUGUGAACCCAGCAGAUCAAGUGAGGCAGCAGAUGGUCCUCCCUGACACCAUGGUGCUACUGCCAUGGGCGUGGGUCGUCCUGUGCUGUUGGGGUGGACUGUGCACUGCAGAUGCUGCAUGGCAUCCCUAAGUGUCCCCUGUGGGGCCAAGUAACCUUGGUACAGAACUCCUGAGAUGAUCGGAGAGGAUAAUGUGUGUGUUGGUGGAGACAUGAGUUUAAUGAAAUGGUUAAGCGUAUCUUUUAAGUAGUUAUGUAUUUUCCACCAUUCACAGUGAAUUCACACAGAGUUUUCCAGUGUUGGUUUGCUUACCGAUUCUAGCUUUCUCAACUUUUCCUCCUUGGGUUUACUCUCUUUGACCCUAUUUUGCACAUUAAACAAGGAAUUUAUUAGUAAUGCUAAUCUAGCUAAAUCUGUUGCCUUGAAACUGCUUCAUAAAUAUAUUUUUACUGUAAGUUUAAUUUGUUUCCUCCGAUAUUGACUGUAUUCUCCUUAAACUGAACUGGUCUGAGUCAUAAUAAAUUUCUGGUUUCUGGGUGCACUUGAGAAGAUAAUGUAUUCUGCUGUUUUUGGAUGGAAUGUCCUAUAAUUAUCAAUUAAAUGUAUCUUGCCUAAAAAAAAAAAAAAAAAAAAAGAA